UCAAGUGAAGAAGCGCAUACGGUGGAUGCCUUGGCAGUCAGAGGCGAUGAAAGACGUGGUAGCCUGCGAAAAGCUUCGGGGAGUCGGCAAACAGACUGUGAUCCGGAGAUGUCUGAAUGGGGGAACCCAGCCAUCAUAAGAUGGUUAUCUUGUACUGAAUACAUAGGUGCAAGAGGCGAACCAGGGGAACUGAAACAUCUAAGUACCCUGAGGAAAAGAAAUCAACCGAGAUUCCCUUAGUAGUGGCGAGCGAACGGGGACCAGCCCUUAAGUUGUAUUGAGAUUAGCGGAACGUUCUGGAAAGGACGGCCAUAGUGGGUGAUAGCCCUGUACGCGAAAAUCCCUUUGCAAUGAAAUCGAGUAGGACGGGGCACGAGAAACCUUGUCUGAAUAUGGGGGGACCAUCCUCCAAGGCUAAAUACUACUGACUGACCGAUAGUGAACCAGUACCGUGAGGGAAAGGCGAAAAGAACCGCGGAGAGCGGAGUGAAAUAGAUCCUGAAACCGUAUGCGUACAAGCAGUGGGAGCCCACUUGUUGGGUGACUGCGUACCUUUUGUAUAAUGGGUCAGCGACUUAUUUUCAGUGGCGAGCUUAACCGAAUAGGGGAGGCGUAGCGAAAGCGAGUCUUAAUAGGGCGUCUAGUCGCUGGGAAUAGACCCGAAACCGGGCGAUCUAUCCAUGGGCAGGUUGAAGGUUGGGUAACGCUAACUGGAGGACCGAACCGACUACCGUUGAAAAGUUAGCGGAUGACCUGUGGAUCGGAGUGAAAGGCUAAUCAAGCUCGGAGAUAGCUGGUUCUCCUCGAAAGCUAUUUAGGUAGCGCCUCAUGUAUCACUGUAGGGGGUAGAGCACUGUUUCGGCUAGGGGGUCAUCCCGACUUACCAAACCGAUGCAAACUCCGAAUACCUACAAGUGCCGAGCAUGGGAGACACACGGCGGGUGCUAACGUCCGUCGUGAAAAGGGAAACAACCCAGACCGUCAGCUAAGGUCCCAAAGUCAUGGUUAAGUGGGAAACGAUGUGGGAAGGCUUAGACAGCUAGGAGGUUGGCUUAGAAGCAGCCACCCUUUAAAGAAAGCGUAAUAGCUCACUAGUCGAGUCGGCCUGCGCGGAAGAUGUAACGGGGCUCAAACCAUGCACCGAAGCUACGGGUAUCAUCUUUUGAUGAUGCGGUAGAGGAGCGUUCUGUAAGCCUGUGAAGGUGAGUUGAGAAGCUUGCUGGAGGUAUCAGAAGUGCGAAUGCUGACAUGAGUAACGACAAUGGGUGUGAAAAACACCCACGCCGAAAGACCAAGGUUUCCUGCGCAACGUUAAUCGACGCAGGGUUAGUCGGUCCCUAAGGCGAGGCUGAAAAGCGUAGUCGAUGGAAAACAGGUUAAUAUUCCUGUACUUCUGGUUAUUGCGAUGGAGGGACGGAGAAGGCUAGGCCAGCCUGGCGUUGGUUGUCCAGGUUUAAGGUGGUAGGCUGAGAUCUUAGGUAAAUCCGGGAUUUCAAGGCCGAGAGCUGAUGACGAGUGUUCUUUAGAACACGAAGUGGUUGAUGCCAUGCUUCCAAGAAAAGCUUCUAAGCUUCAGGUAACCAGGAACCGUACCCCAAACCGACACAGGUGGUUGGGUAGAGAAUACCAAGGCGCUUGAGAGAACUCGGGUGAAGGAACUAGGCAAAAUGGCACCGUAACUUCGGGAGAAGGUGCGCCGGUGAGGGUGAAGCAUUUACUGCGUAAGCCCACGCCGGUCGAAGAUACCAGGCCGCUGCGACUGUUUAUUAAAAACACAGCACUCUGCAAACACGAAAGUGGACGUAUAGGGUGUGACGCCUGCCCGGUGCCGGAAGGUUAAUUGAUGGGGUUAGCGCAAGCGAAGCUCUUGAUCGAAGCCCCGGUAAACGGCGGCCGUAACUAUAACGGUCCUAAGGUAGCGAAAUUCCUUGUCGGGUAAGUUCCGACCUGCACGAAUGGCGUAACGAUGGCGGCGCUGUCUCCACCCGAGACUCAGUGAAAUUGAAAUCGCUGUGAAGAUGCAGUGUAUCCGCGGCUAGACGGAAAGACCCCGUGAACCUUUACUAUAGCUUUGCACUGGACUUUGAAUUUGCUUGUGUAGGAUAGGUGGGAGGCUUUGAAGCGUGGACGCCAGUCUGCGUGGAGCCAACCUUGAAAUACCACCCUGGCAACUUUGAGGUUCUAACUCAGGUCCGUUAUCCGGAUCGAGGACAGUGUAUGGUGGGUAGUUUGACUGGGGCGGUCUCCUCCUAAAGAGUAACGGAGGAGUACGAAGGUGCGCUCAGACCGGUCGGAAAUCGGUCGUAGAGUAUAAAGGCAAAAGCGCGCUUGACUGCGAGACAGACACGUCGAGCAGGUACGAAAGUAGGUCUUAGUGAUCCGGUGGUUCUGUAUGGAAGGGCCAUCGCUCAACGGAUAAAAGGUACUCCGGGGAUAACAGGCUGAUACCGCCCAAGAGUUCAUAUCGACGGCGGUGUUUGGCACCUCGAUGUCGGCUCAUCACAUCCUGGGGCUGAAGCCGGUCCCAAGGGUAUGGCUGUUCGCCAUUUAAAGUGGUACGCGAGCUGGGUUUAGAACGUCGUGAGACAGUUCGGUCCCUAUCUGCCGUGGACGUUUGAGAUUUGAGAGGGGCUGCUCCUAGUACGAGAGGACCGGAGUGGACGAACCUCUGGUGUUCCGGUUGUCACGCCAGUGGCAUUGCCGGGUAGCUAUGUUCGGAAAAGAUAACCGCUGAAAGCAUCUAAGCGGGAAACUUGCCUCAAGAUGAGAUCUCACUGGAACCUUGAGUUCCCUAAAGGGCCGUCGAAGACUACGACGUUGAUAGGUUGGGUGUGUAAGCGCUGUGAGGCGUUGAGCUAACCAAUACUAAUUGCCCGUGAGGCUUGACCAU
RNAcentral lists this ribosomal RNA (2890 nucleotides) under Pseudomonas savastanoi pv. glycinea. RNAcentral describes it as "bacterial LSU rRNA". It matches the Rfam family "Bacterial large subunit ribosomal RNA". The record is from RNAcentral. Lineage: Bacteria; Pseudomonadati; Pseudomonadota; Gammaproteobacteria; Pseudomonadales; Pseudomonadaceae.